AGUGAGAACAUGUGGUAUUUGUUUUUUUGUUGUUGUUGUUCUUCAUUAGUUUGCUAAGGAUAAUGACCUCCAGCUCUAUCCAUAUUCCUGGAUGAUAAUCUUGUUCUUUUUUAUAGCUGCAUAGUAUUCCAUGCUUUACAUGUAUCACAUUUUCUUCAUGCAGUCUACCAUUGAUGGGCAUUUAGGUUGAUUUCAUGUCUUUGCCAUUGUGAAUAGUGCUACAAUGAACAUACAUGUGUGCAUCAAUGUUCAUCAAGGAUAUUGGUCUAAAAUUCUCUUUUUUGGUUGUGUCUCUGCCCGGCUUUGGUAUCAGGAUGAUGCUGGCCUCAUAAAAUGAGUUAGGGAGGAUUCCCUCUUUUUUAUUUGCAAAACAGUUUCAUUAUCAGCCCCUAUCCCAGACUAGCCCCCAGAUCCAUCUUGCGUUUCACAAAAGGUUACUGCUGGAUAACUUUUAUAAACAAAAAAAGUCUUUUGUCCCUGAUCUCCACCCUUAGCUAAGCAAAGAGACAGCAAAAACAAAGAGAGAGAUUUUCCCUUAAUUGAAAAUUUGCUGAUGAUAUCUGGAAAAGAAGAAAAUUCAAAUUCUUGAGUGUGCUUUUUUCCAAUUACAACAAACUCUAGAGGUAAUUUUCUGUCUACCUGUCAUAGAUAUUUUCUACAAUGAACAUGCAUUCUUUAAUAAAAUAUAAUACAGUAAAUAUUACUUUAAAAAGUAAUUGUUGCUUAUGGAUGAAUAUCUCUAAAGCACUUCAAGUUCUUAUUUCAGAACCUAUCCCACUUGUCAGCUCUGUUCCAGUCUGGCUCCUUGCUUUAAGGUCUCCUUCCCCUAACCUUUCCUUUUCUCUCCCUUUCUCUCUCUCUUCCUUCCUGUUUGAAUCUUACAGGGGUACCAAAAAAGCCUAUGAACUUAAAAGGGA
This 917-nucleotide long non-coding RNA is filed under the name Homo sapiens (human). Its description in RNAcentral is "HSALNT0284172". Lineage: Eukaryota; Metazoa; Chordata; Mammalia; Primates; Hominidae. The record is from RNAcentral.